This 446-nucleotide ribosomal RNA is filed under the name uncultured Alcaligenaceae bacterium. RNAcentral's name for it is "bacterial SSU rRNA". It matches the Rfam family "Bacterial small subunit ribosomal RNA", at positions 940 to 1382 of the family's 1533-position model. The record is from RNAcentral. Lineage: Bacteria; Pseudomonadati; Pseudomonadota; Betaproteobacteria; Burkholderiales; Alcaligenaceae.
UGUAGGAUUAAUUCGAUGCAACGACGAAAAACCUUACCUACCCUUGACAUGUUCGGAAUUCCGCAGAGAUGUGGAAGUGCUACGAAAGAGAACCGGAACACAGGUGCUGCAUGGCUGUCGUCAGCUCGUGUCGUGAGAUGUUGGGUUAAAGUCCCCGCAACGAGCGCAACCCUUGUCAUUAGUUGCUACGAAAGGGCACUCUAAUGAGACUGCCCGGUGACAAAACCCGGAGGAAGGUGGGGAUGACGUCAAGUCCUCAUGGCCCUUAUGGGUAGGGCUUCACACGUCAUACAAUGGUCGGUACAGAGGGCUGCCAACCCGCAAGGGGGAGCCAAUCCCUUAAAACCGAUCGUAGUCCGGAUUGAGGUCUGCAACUCGACCUCAUGAAGUCGGAAUCGCUAGUAAUCGCGGAUCAGCAUGUCGCGGUGAAUACGUUCCCGGGUCUU